This 539-nucleotide ribosomal RNA is filed under the name uncultured bacterium. Its description in RNAcentral is "bacterial SSU rRNA". It matches the Rfam family "Bacterial small subunit ribosomal RNA", at positions 356 to 896 of the family's 1533-position model. The record is from RNAcentral.
GAGGAAUAUUGGUCAAUGGACGGAAGUCUGAACCAGCCAAGUAGCGUGCAGGAUGACGGCCCUAUGGGUUGUAAACUGCUUUUGUAUGGGGAUAAAGUCAAUCACGUGUGAUUGUUUGCAGGUACCAUACGAAUAAGGACCGGCUAAUUCCGUGCCAGCAGCCGCGGUAAUACGGAAGGUCCGGGCGUUAUCCGGAUUUAUUGGGUUUAAAGGGAGCGUAGGCCGGAGAUUAAGUGUGUUGUGAAAUGUAGACGCUCAACGUCUGACUUGCAGCGCAUACUGGUUUCCUUGAGUACGCACAACGUUGGCGGAAUUCGUCGUGUAGCGGUGAAAUGCUUAGAUAUGACGAAGAACUCCGAUUGCGAAGGCAGCUGACGGGAGCGCAACUGACGCUUAAGCUCGAAGGUGCGGGUAUCGAACAGGAUUAGAUACCCUGGUAGUCCGCACAGUAAACGAUGGAUGCCCGCUGUUGGUACCUGGUAUCAGCGGCUAAGCGAAAGCAUUAAGCAUCCCACCUGGGGAGUACGCCGGCAACGGUG